Molecule: transfer RNA, 73 nt
Filed under: Candidatus Huberarchaeum julieae
Lineage: Archaea; Nanobdellati; Candidatus Huberarchaeota; Candidatus Huberarchaeia; Candidatus Huberarchaeales; Candidatus Huberarchaeaceae
Description: Euryarchaeota archaeon HGW-Euryarchaeota-1 tRNA-Gln
Rfam family: tRNA
About the family: Transfer RNA (tRNA) molecules are approximately 80 nucleotides in length. Their secondary structure includes four short double-helical elements and three loops (D, anti-codon, and T loops).
Source: RNAcentral
AGCCCCGUGGUGUAGCGGUUUAGCAUACUGGGUUCUGGACCCGGUGACAACGGUUCGAAUCCGUUCGGGACUA